GACGAACGCUGGCGGCGUGCUUAACACAUGCCAGUCGAACGGAAAGGCCCUGCUUGCAGGGUGCUCGAGUGGCGAACGGGUGAGUAACACGUGGGUGAUCUGCCCCUUACUUUGGGAUAGGCCUGGGAAACUGGGUCUAAUACUGGAUAGGACCAUGCUGUAGGUGGUGUGGUGGAAAGAUUAGUUUCGGUAAGGGAUGAGCUCGCGGCCUAUCAGCUUGUUGGUGGGGUAAUGGCCUACCAAGGCGUCGACGGGUAGCCGGCCUGAGAGGGUGGACGGCCACAUUGGGACUGAGAUACGGCCCAGACUCCUACGGGAGGCAGCAGUGGGGAAUAUUGCACAAUGGGCGCAAGCCUGAUGCAGCGACGCCGCGUGGGGGAUGACGGCCUUCGGGUUGUAAACUCCUUUCAGCCAUGACGAAGCCCUUGUGGGGACGGUAGUGGUAGAAGAAGCACCGGCUAACUACGU
This 468-nucleotide ribosomal RNA is filed under the name uncultured bacterium. Its description in RNAcentral is "partial 16S ribosomal RNA". It matches the Rfam family "Bacterial small subunit ribosomal RNA", at positions 28 to 506 of the family's 1533-position model. The record is from RNAcentral.